This 364-nucleotide long non-coding RNA is filed under the name Oryctolagus cuniculus (rabbit). Its description in RNAcentral is "lncRNA (ENSOCUG00000039456.1)". The record is from RNAcentral. Lineage: Eukaryota; Metazoa; Chordata; Mammalia; Lagomorpha; Leporidae.
AAAAGAAAAGAAAGGAAGUGAGACGGAAGGAGGGUCGAGAAGGACAAAGAGAGUGGGAGGGAGGGAGGAAGGAAGGGAAUCUUAUGUUCUAGAUUUUUAUCUACCAGGAGAUUCCAAGAUGGCAGAAUAGGGAAUGGUAUACUGCACUAGGCUAGGGAUAAAUAGAGGGAAAAAGAGUACAAGAAGUGCACUCUUCAGGGAGAAUGAGAGAGAAAACUAUACUGGAAAGUCUACAAAAGGAAAAGGAAGACCAUGGGCCUUUGUGGAAGGUGCAGAUGUGAAGAACAAACACGGACAUAAAACACAACUGCAGCAGCCAAGUGCAGGGAUUGGAUGGCAGCUUGGAGGUGGAGAGAGAAAAUAA